RNAcentral lists this ribosomal RNA (301 nucleotides) under uncultured bacterium. RNAcentral's name for it is "partial 16S ribosomal RNA". It matches the Rfam family "Bacterial small subunit ribosomal RNA", at positions 509 to 807 of the family's 1533-position model. The record is from RNAcentral.
CAGUCGCCGCGGUAAUACGAAGGGGGCUAGCGUUGUUCGGAUUAACUGGGCGUAAAGGGCGCGUAGGCGGGUUUUUAAGUCAGAGGUGAAAUCCCAAGGCUCAACCUUGGAACUGCCUUUGAUACUGGAAGUCUUGAGUCCGGGAGAGGUGAGUGGAACUGCGAGUGUAGAGGUGAAAUUCGUAGAUAUUCGCAAGAACACCAGUGGCGAAGGCGGCUCACUGGCCCGGUACUGACGCUGAGGCGCGAAAGCGUGGGGAGCAAACAGGAUUAGAUACCCGUGUAGUCCCUGUCUCUUAUAC